Molecule: ribosomal RNA, 454 nt
Filed under: uncultured bacterium
Lineage: Bacteria
Description: bacterial SSU rRNA
Rfam family: Bacterial small subunit ribosomal RNA
Source: RNAcentral
UACGGGAGGCAGCAGUGGGGAAUAUUGCACAAUGGGCGCAAGCCUGAUGCAGCCAUGCCGCGUGUAUGAAGAAGGCCUUCGGGUUGUAAAGUACUUUCAGUCGUGAGGAAGGUGUUAAGGUUAAUAACCUUAGCAAUUGACGUUAGCGACAGAAGAAGCACCGGCUAACUCCGUGCCAGCAGCCGCGGUAAUACGGAGGGUGCGAGCGUUAAUCGGAAUUACUGGGCGUAAAGGGCACGCAGGCGGUUAAUUAAGUUGGAUGUGAAUCCCCGGGCUUAACCUGGGAAUGGCAUUCAAGACUGGUUAGCUAGAGUCUUGUAGAGGGGGUAGAAUUCCAUGUGUAGCGGUGAAAUGCGUAGAGAUGUGGAGGAAUACCGGGUGGCGAAGGCGGCCCCUGGGACAAAGGCUGACGCUCAUGUGCGAAAGCGUGGGGAGCAAACAGGGAUUAGAUACC